AUAGCGACGUCUUUUUGUAAU
Caenorhabditis elegans is the source of this 21-nucleotide non-coding RNA. The record is from Ensembl. NCBI's taxonomy places the organism in Eukaryota, Metazoa, Nematoda, Chromadorea, Rhabditida, Rhabditidae.